RNAcentral lists this ribosomal RNA (548 nucleotides) under uncultured Glomeromycotina. RNAcentral describes it as "SSU rRNA". It matches the Rfam family "Eukaryotic small subunit ribosomal RNA", at positions 548 to 1098 of the family's 1831-position model. Lineage: Eukaryota; Fungi; Glomeromycota. The record is from RNAcentral.
UUGGAGGGCAAGUCUGGUGCCAGCAGCCGCGGUAAUUCCAGCUCCAAUAGCGUAUAUUAAAGUUGUUGCAGUUAAAAAGCUCGUAGUUGAAUUUCGGGAUCAAAUUGUCGGUCGUGCCUCGGUACGCACUGGUAUUAUUGGUUCCUACCUUCUGAAGAACCGCGGUGUCAUUAAUUUGGUGUCGUGGGGAAUCAGGACUGUUACUUUGAAGAAAUUAGAGUGUUUAAAGCAGGCUUACGCUUGAAUACAUUAGCAUGGAAUAAUGAAAUAGGACGUUUGAUUCUAUUUUGUUGGUUUCUAGGAUUGACGUAAUGAUUAAUAGGGAUAGUUGGGGGCAUUAGUAUUCAAUUGUCAGAGGUGAAAUUCUUGGAUUUAUUGAAGACUAACUACUGCGAAAGCAUUUGCCAAGGAUGUUUUCAUUAAUCAAGAACGAAAGUUAGGGGAUCGAAGACGAUCAGAUACCGUCGUAGUCUUAACCAUAAACUAUGCCGACUAGGGAUCGGACGAAGUUAAUUUUAUAAUGACGCGUUCGGCGCCUUACGGGAAAC